ACAAUAUUCGGACCGUCGGUCUAUCGAGCAAUAACACCCGCUUGGUGGAAGAUCUACGGGAUCUACCCUUCGUCAU
This 76-nucleotide microRNA precursor is filed under the name Bombyx mori (domestic silkworm). RNAcentral's name for it is "mir-2774 microRNA precursor family". It matches the Rfam family "mir-2774 microRNA precursor family". Lineage: Eukaryota; Metazoa; Arthropoda; Insecta; Lepidoptera; Bombycidae. The record is from Rfam by way of RNAcentral.